AUGGGCUCUAGAUUUUUCCCUACGCUCCCCACCCACCAUCCAGUACCUGCUAUCAGCCAACUGCAGCGUGUCCAGCAGACCAGAGAGCAGGCGAAGGAAAGCCUCCCUCCACCUGGUUCCCGCUGUGCACCCCGAGCCUGCGUGGCCGCGGGGAGGCCGUGGCUCUUCUUUGGGCCUCUGCCCCCACCCCCCCCACCCCCCCCGCCUUGUGCUCAGGGAUUAAGAAGCACUGCGUUUGCAGAGGGAGAAAGGCGCCACAUAGAUUCCCAGGGUGAUUACUGGGCUUUGCCACCAAACGGCUUUCCUCGCGUCCUCUCUACCUGGCCCUCGGCCCCCGGCCCCUCCCCGCUCGGCCAUCUGUCUCUCUGUGUGUGGACAGGGCCUGGACGGGAGCUGCAGCCUGGGGUGAUGGGGGGGCGGGGGGCUGGAUGGGAACUGCAGCCUCAGGGGCAAGGACAGGGUCUGGACGGGGCUGCGGCCUCGGAGGGGGUGGGGGCUGGACAGGGCAUGGACUGGAGCUGCAGCCUGCAGGGGGCUGGACCAGUGGGGUGGGGUGCUGGACGGGAACUGUGGCCUCAGGGGCAGGGACAGGGCCUGGAUGGGAGCUGCGGCCUCAGGGGCAGGGACAAGGGGCUCCACAAGAGGAGGCGGGGGUGGGGGGAGGCCACCCCGCUGUCCUCCAUCAGCCACCUCCCGCCCCUGUCGGCCUUGCCCAGCCUGAAGCCAGAGGACAGAAACCUCUGCCUAUGCGCAGCAGGUGGCUCAGCCUCCUGGGGCACCGGAGGCCUGGAGGGAUACACCCAGAUGCCCUGCGGCCUUCACCUGCGGGGGCCCUGCCUGGAACUGGGGGGUGGAGGGGUGACUGGGAGGGGCCAGCUGCACAGACAGCAGCGGCGGGGCACAGGGCUUUGCGGGGCUACAGGCCCGAGACCUGAGGAGGAGCACACUGGGCGCCGGGGCCCUGCCGGUGCUUCUGGGCCGCCGCGGCCACAGGUGCCAGGACGUGUGGCUGCGGCCCCCUUGCGGCCUCCUCCGGCCUGCGGCCCUCGUGGCACCUUCAGCCCCGGUGCUCUCCCCUUCCGUCCACCACUCCCCUCCCUUCCCUGGGACCCGAGGGCCCCGUGGAGCCUUCUUCAGGCCCAACCGGGUCAUGGCCCAGAAGCUACAGAGCGGCUCCUACACCCAAAUGGCAGGAUCCAGCGUUUUCCCAAGUUCUGCAGAGGCCGCAGGGCCGGGGAGCCAAGCAGGGGCUGGAAUGGGGAGACUGAGGCAGCGGGGCCCGAGUCACUAGGGAGAGACGUGGGCGGCGGGGAAGGCAAGGAAGAGCCAUGCCAAGCACAGGAGGGCCCUGCACCCCACCCCCCGCUGCGUUGUGUGCUCUGCGGCAACACGAUCAGGGUCCUAAGGGGAUGA
This 1413-nucleotide long non-coding RNA is filed under the name Canis lupus dingo (dingo). Its description in RNAcentral is "lncRNA (ENSCAFG00020014426.1)". The record is from RNAcentral. Lineage: Eukaryota; Metazoa; Chordata; Mammalia; Carnivora; Canidae.